RNAcentral lists this long non-coding RNA (6441 nucleotides) under Taeniopygia guttata (zebra finch). Its description in RNAcentral is "lncRNA (ENSTGUG00000028794.1)". The record is from RNAcentral. Lineage: Eukaryota; Metazoa; Chordata; Aves; Passeriformes; Estrildidae.
UGCUCUCAGUUUCUCACUUGCAAUACUCUUCGUGCCAAUGUUGAUUGCAGAUUCUUUACCAUGUGUGUGCACAUCCUUCUUUAGACCACAACUGGAAAAACUGUGGGGUGGUUCCUGCUCAGGGUCUCCUUAACUGCAAACCCACAAACUGCUUCCAUUUCUCUUGGUACCUUCUUCAAAAGCACAGCACUUUUGUAAUACCCUGCUAGCGUGAGACCUAGUGAUGGUUCACAAAGUAACAAAUACUACAGUAAUAGUUUAUAGAAAAGAAAACACUUUUACUGCAAAGGCAAUUUUGCAAAUUUUGGUAGCAAUGAAAUCCAACCAUUCCAAUGCAAUGGACUGCCAUGGAAAAUGUCUGCCACUGGCAAAGGCUCUGGAAAAAAAAAGUAAGUCACUUUUUUAUCAAAAAGGUAGUGAGAUAUCUGUUGGUACAACCUAUGGCUUUUAAUGUGCUGGUAUGUCACUGAGAGUGUCCCUGAUGCACACAGGGGAGGUAAGGGCACUUAGAGGGCAGCUCCACUCAGCUUUCUAGAAAAGUCAAAGGUUCCUGGUUCCACUUGUGGAGUCACUUCAUAUGCAGCAAUUGUAUUACCUUGCAAGAUUGUUUUUGGUGUCAGGGUUUUUCUGGAAGUCAGUGUGCUUCCUAUAGGCCAAGCAGGCCACUGCAGGAAUUUCAUUGUGUUUCCCUUUUUAAUGGAAAUUGCAAAUACAUUUCCAGACACAGCUCUGGAAAUACCCCAACAGCAGCCUCUAUCACCUCUUCAGUGUUUAGGAUUGAGCAGUGCCUGUGUCUCAGCUUUCACCUACAUGGAGUGAAAUGCCUAAAAAUGUUAAGAAAUUGCGUCUGCCUUAAUGUCAUCACUGCUAUCCUACCUAAUAAAUAUUUUCCUAAAAAAACCUCAUUCCUCUCUCUCUGAGGAAGACUAUUUCCAUGGAGGUAAGCAGUGAUAGGUAAGUGGUAUUUGUGUACUUGGUGACAUCUGUUUUAUUGGGCGGAGCACUCGAUAACUUGCAUCACCCUCUGAUUCAUACAAUCAUCUGACCUUCAUCUAACUGCUGCUCUGCUUUUAUUUCCUUUUCUCCUUACGAGUUACAGUAAAGGAAAUUCUUCCUGUGCUCCAUACACAAUGCUUCCUUUCAUUCAAGGUUUGGUUGUGCUUUUAGCAUUUAAAAAAACAACCAGUAUAACCAUCUACUGAAAUAGCACAGGAUCAAGUCACACGUUCCUCUCCCUUCACAUUUAGCCUCCCCACAGAUUACACGCACUCCAGGAGUUGCUGUACUUUGGGCACAGCCUUCUCUCCUGGCUGAAAUCCCAGCUGGGAGAUGCUGCAGCCCCUCAGGGUGGGUCUGUGGGGUUUGCUGUGAGGGUUCCUCCCUGUUGGGUGUAUGGACAAGUAAGCAGGUCUUCCAGGAGGAGUCUAAUUCUGCUGGCUCUGUCUGAUGCUGUACCUUCAGCUCCUGCUCUGCCCUGGUGUGGCUGUUCCUCUGGGUACCCACUUGUGUCCCUCCCUUGCAGCUGAGGAAGGACAGCCAUCUCUCUGGAGCAACUUUCUGAAGCAUGAAGGAGACAGUUUGUCCUGUUAUGCUGCUGUCAUCAUGUGAGCAGGCUGUAUGCUUCUGCAUUUGAAGACUAAAACUGAAUGCUGAAAACAGGAACUUUCUGGAAAUUCCGCAUGCCUGAAAUGUAAUGGUUUCAGUGAGUUUCCUGAUAUCAUCUCAUCCAUGUGGUUGUGCUUGGAUGGGGGAACUAAACAUGUCAUUAGCUCUGUAGGGUCACUAAAAUUUGAAGAAGAGAUCAUAAGGAAUCUUAAGGAUGCGUGACAUCCUGCGAAGACAGAUGAUAAAAGCAACUACACUUGACAGUGAGCCCUUCAAGGCGAGGCAACCCAGUUAAGAGCAUGGAGGAACUGAGCUCUUGCUAACUCAUGUCAGCAGGAGUUGUUUAUCCCCUCUUCAUCAAAAAAAUCAGACUGACAGCAUUGAAAGUGACUAAAACCAGAGGAUGAUACAGGGAAUUUUGGCCUUCAUAACUUUGCAAUGACUUCACUGAUCAUUCCUGGCUCCCAGACCUGGCCUGAUUCUACUAAACUGUGCAACAUUUAUUCGUAAUCAAAUUAUAGUUUAUACACAGGCACAAAAACACAAACACAGAGACAUGUAUCUUCCUACAAACACAUCAAAUGUCUGCAAACAAAGCUGAAAGCUGACCUGAUGCUGGCUGAAUUGUCACUGUAGUCUAAGCUACAAUAGUAAAAUGCGUGGUUGCAAAGAAUCCUAACAUCAGCAGCAGGAGAAUGGUAAGAAAUGCAGGUCUUUCCCAGCCUUGGUCUCGAUUCAAAUGCUGUAAUAUUUCUUGUAGGAUUUCACAAAUAAGUAGAGUGUAUUUGAUUGCAUAAAACAGUGAAAUUGCCUGUCAGGCGUUUAUUCAGAGUUUCUUAAUCUAGAUGAUUUCCAGUUAAGAGAAAGUCUAGACCGUUGGCCUGUUCUUUGGCAGAAGAGAAGUUUUUUAUUAUUUUUUCACAUGCUCGGAGAAUUACUCAAUUUACUAAAAAAGGGGAAGGACUGAGAUCCUAUUUACUCUAAUUUUUAUAAUAUUUAAACUGGCUGCUCUCUCUAGGCAUACCUUGUGCUUUUACCAGCUCAACAUUGUUGAUCAAAGUGUUCUCCAGUAACAAAUGCCACAGAUACACAGAAUGGUCACAUUGAGUUAUGCAAGUGUUUGGCUUUUUGCCUCUGAAAAUAGCUACUCAGUAGAAAAAUACAAAUCCCGUUGCAUGUUCUCUCUGGGUUAUAACAGGUCACAGACAAAAUCCUCACCGUUUGUGAAAUCUUCUUGCAGUUUAUAGUUGUACAACUUUUUACAUCUGUGAAAAAUUAAUGGAAGUAAUAUAACUGAUACCAAAUUACUGUUGGAGAGUUUCCCAUGCCAAGAUUGAUUGCUCUUUUUGUUACUUAAGUCUUCAUCUUAAUCUGUGCCCAGCCCAUUCUUUUACCCACCUUCCACUUUCUAAUGGUUUUUGGCAUGAUGUUUCUGAUGAGAAAUGAAGAAAAUUUUUCAGUUGAAGCUGUAGCCUGAUUUUAGCAACAAAGAACAUGCAAAUGAAGCAGUCACUAGACUCCAGAUUGCCUGCUGUCAGGGCAGGUUUUCCCCCGCCACCCCCAUCUUUAUUUUUUUCAGGCUUGAGUAUGGAUAUCUGUAUACUGUUUCUGGAUACCUCCAAUAUCUAGACAGGUCCAUAUGUUCUUUUGGGUUUUGUCAACAAAGUGCUGGGACUAGAAUCACAUAUGUGUAGGUUGUGUGUAGCAAAAAUAAAGUGGCAGAAGACAUACAAAAACAUUGAUACAAAAGCCUGUUUCAGACAGAGUUGUUCCAUUGUGGAGUGUGUAGCAAGCCACCAACUCGUGGCUUAGAGCAAAGUAGCUGGGGUCUAAAUGUUAUUUUGUACCUAUUUUGAAUGGUUUUUUUUUUUUUUUCAGUUCCUAUUCUGUCAGACACUGUUGAUAAUGUCGUACACUUACACCAUGCCUGUGCAGUUUGGAUGCUCCAGUGAUUUGGCAGGAAUCCUUUUUUUCCUCAUCCCACUCACUCACAUUCACCAGGGCUUGAGAACUCCAUCAGGGUUGUGGCAGGCCCUGGAUGGACCCUUUAAAGUCACUCAGCAGUGGCAAGGGAGAGGAGUGUCCUCCUUCACACCUGUUGUUUCCCAUACGGACAAGGAAGGAAAUGAGAGAGAUGAGAACAUACAUGUCAGCGUCACAGCCAGCCAGUGUUCUUUCAACACAAACAGCUUUCACUGUCCUCACUGGCAACCUUCAGAGAGUGCAUCAAUGCCUGUCUUUGUGUUCACAGAAACCUUAGUAAAUGAAUAGCAAAUACCCCAAUUCACUUUUCCUUUUCAGAUUGUUCCUGACUUGAGAACCAGGACUCCAUAAGCACUGGCCAAUGAUUAUGUGACACAAAGAUCAGGGUGACAUGUUCCCAACACACUGUGCAUCUCAAGUACUAAAUAUCUGUUACUUCAGAAUUUCCACCUGUCCUCCAUGAAGCCUUCCCUGUGAACACCCCACAAAUUGCCCUCAGCUGAGAGAUGUGUCUUUCAGCUGGGACUAAGAUUUAGGAAAUGAUUACUGCCUCCAGCUGAGCUAUGGCUCAGGCUGCUCUUAGGAGCAGCUGGGGCUUGUCAUUCCCUCUCUUUGCUUGUUAAUAUAAUCUUAAAAGCUUUCAAAGGCUCACUGAAUCCCCAGUCUAUUCACAUCAGCACUCAGCAUAUAGAGACUAUCACAGAUGUGUGACAGUGAACAUGAAAAGCAAGGAAGAUUGCAACUGAAGGUAAAAUGUAAGUAGAGAAGGUGGUCCAUCCCCAGAUUUAAAAGGUGUCAGGCUCCCCAUUUGUUUCUGCGUUGUUGAAAAAGGCUGAAAAAUAAAUGUCUGACUGUCACAAGGAGAUCUGCAAUUGCUUAUGAGUACAUGGCUUCUCUCUUCAGGAAAAAUCUGUAUGUGGAAUGAAAGAUCUUCAGGAAAAAUCUGUACUAGAUUUUUUUUUUUAGAAGGAAAGCCAUGUUAGUCUUGAGUUAAAUAGAUUAAAGAUGGAGGUUUAGUUUUAAAAAACUAAAUAGUAAGCUAACAUUAUAAUAACACAGUAGAAAGAUAAUGAUCUCACAGUUCUGUUUCUUCUUUUCUACUUUUACCAUUAUCCUUUGAACUGAAGCUCUGGAAAUAUGCACAGUGGGGAAAAGUAGCUCCAGUAUUCAGACCAUUUCAUUCUUGCUCUUGAUUUCUCAAAAAUAAUUUGGUAUUUCACUUUUACUUUUAGAAAUGGAAAUUUUGAGCUACAAAAUGCUGUCAUAGCCAAGAGAUCAAUGUUCUUAUGUAGCUACCUGAGCAGUGUUGUGCCAUUUGCAAAAAUGUAACUUUCCUGCAAAAGGUGAACUCUUACAAAAUUCCUAUGAUCCCUUUGCCUCCACAGUUUUUCAGGAAGUUCAUCAGAAUAAGUAUAUAAGGUACCUCUGUCUGAAGAGGUUCUGCCCAUUGGGCAUCCCAGAAUAUUUUGUUUUCCUCUAGUCAGGCAGAGAAUUAAUUUGUGUAUCCUCCUUGUGGUAUGUUAACCACUUAGCUAGUUGCCAAAGAUGUGCACGAAUGUCCAAAGGGAUUUUUUUUCCCCAAAGCUGAGAAAUUAAAACCAAUAGCCCAACUGCCUAACAGGAGAAUGAGAGGAAGGAAAUUGCCAGGCUGUAAUAGAACUCACAGUACACUAAAUACAAAGAAUUCAUAAAAAUAAAAGUUAAAAAUGUGUGCAUGAUAAUUAUGAAUCUUUCCCAGUGGGAGAGGUGAGGAAGUUGAGUUUUACCCUGAGGAAUCUGGGAUGUGCACAUGGUGGUAAAAGGCGUUACAUUAAAAGGCAUCUUUGGGAGUGUCAGCAAAGCAGAACAAUUGAGGGAACAUACUGGGAGGAGAUGUACUCCUUAACUCAGCUGGUCUUCCCAAAUUCACAGAUGCUUGAAGCAGAAACAUCUAAUCUCCUGAGACUGCAACUCAUCCAUAUUAAUAGCAAAGCACCUCUGAUUCUUACAUGAUACAGAUACUGUUAAUUUUCAAUUUGAAAACAUUGCAGUAAGUGAUGAUGCUUUACUUGUGCAGAGAUACAAGCCAGAUAAAGGGGAAGCAAAUUUUCCCCUCUACAUGGACAACGGGCAUCCUGCUUGGCCACUUCCCUUAAUCCCAGCCCUGAAAUUACUCACUUGUGAAAGCCUUUUAAUUGUGUUUAGCCAUGUAAGCUUUACCACGUGGAGACAUUGGCUGUAACACCAGUAAGCAGUAAGGAUCGUAACACUCGUUUCCAUUGUUCUCCAGAUACCUGGGAAAAUAAACCCUAUGGCUGAAAUAGCCCCUGAAAUAAUUGCAGCUAUUAGAGCCAUUACCUACCCAAAUUCAGGUACCUUUUAGUGAGGGAAGUCUUGUUUCAUGGGUCAGGUGAGCCAAGCAAUUAAUUUGGAAUGGCAGCUCUGGUUCCCAUGGAAUACUCGGGGCUCCCUCAUUGUUCCUGUGUCUGGCUGUAGACUAGUGUUCAGGAUGGGAAUUUGUGUGUCAAAGAAAAAGGAAUUUUUAGGGUACUAACUUUAUUCCCACAGUGAGUGUCCACUUCUGUGUUAUGUUCAUUGUAGGAAUGCUGAACACCUGGAAUAGGUGGUAAAAUGAGUUCCCUUCUAAAAACCAAUAGGGCUUAAAUUAUUUCAAAUCCAUGAGAACUCUGACUGCGUAGAUCUCACCAAAAUCUGGGGUUUUCUUGCUAGUUGUUAGUUAAUUUUUUUUUUCCAGCCACCUGCACCUGGAGAAUAUUGAUUAAUUUUUACACAAUCUUUAAAAAUAAACUGAGCUGGUAAAGCGCUUGAUUUGCUAUUACACCUCUGAUUAAAAAAAAAAAAAAAAAAAAAAAA